This 7279-nucleotide long non-coding RNA is filed under the name Phoenix dactylifera (date palm). Its description in RNAcentral is "long non-coding RNA (PDAC_LNC010354)". Lineage: Eukaryota; Viridiplantae; Streptophyta; Magnoliopsida; Arecales; Arecaceae. The record is from RNAcentral.
CUGGUUUUUCUUUUGACCGUGGUGAGGUCUUUCAAGAAUUUUGUAUAGGAGGAAAUUUGUCGUAUGGCAUCGAGGAAAGGUAUAUUUAUUUGAACAGUUCUAAAGACUUCCAUGAUUUCAUCAAAGUUAGACUGUUUCUUUGAGUCCUGAAGUCUACUGGGGAAGGAAACCUUGGGUUUGUAUGUUUCUAUAGGUUCUUCCCUUUUUUCUGGUUUGUCCUGUUCUUGACCUCUCUUCUGAAUUGGGUUCUUAUCGGAUUCAUUUUUAUUUUCUUUUUCAUGUUCAGGAAGUUGGAUUUUAUUGUCCACUUGCUUGCCAGACCUUAAAGUGGUAAUUGCCUGGACUUCAUAGGUCGGAUUUCCAUUGAUUUGAUACUGACCUCUUUGAUCUUGAUUUUGUUAUCUACUAGGGUUAGGCACUGGUUGACUAGGUAGUUCACCUUUCUUUCUAUCCCCUAGAGAGUUUGCUAUUUGGCUUAGACUAACCUCAAGUUUUGCAAUUGCUUGCGCAUGGAAUUGGUUAAUCUGGGCUUAGGCUGUAUUGGUCUGUUGUUGUUGCUUGAUAAAAUCUUGUUGUUGUUUCAUCAUAUUAGCCAUCAUGGUUUCUAAUGGUGAAGAUUGCUGUAGGAUAGGAGCAUUAUAGGGAGGUACAGAUGGAACCAAAGAUUGGUUCAUUUGUGGGGGCCCUAUCCUGGAAAAGUUGUUCUGAAAACCUGGUGGACCACCUUGAUGCUGAAUAGGUUCGUUCUGCUUAUAUGAGAAAUUUAGGUGGAACCUAUUAUCAGGGUGGUAAACUGGGCUGAACGAAUUGGGAGUGGGCUUCUUGAAGGCACUAUACGAAUUUAGAGCAUUUGCUUGCUCGGCCUUUAUGUUGGGUAAACUAGGACAACACUCCACUAGAUGCUCAGAACUGUUACACAAGAUAUAUAAACUAUGUGACUCGUGAUCCACUUUCAUGAUGGGAUUUAACUCUUUAUAUGAACUCGAGCUAGUGGAAAUAGUGAAAGCAUCAAACUUUUUGCUUAAGUUGUUCAUUCCAGUCACCAGAUUGGAUAUGACAUUUUUGAGAUCUGGGUCUGCUUUCAUUUCAUAAUUACCUGGUUUUCUAGAUCCGAACUCAUCUCUAUUUACUUCCUCACCAUAGCUACUCCAAUUUUGGGCGUUUUCAGCUAAGUCAACAAGAAAUUCAUAGGCUUGAUCUGGGGUUUGGUUCAUGAACCUACUCUUAUGCAUGGACUCAAUCAUGUUUCUAUGUGCCGGAGGUAGUCCUUUAUAAAAGAAGUGGACCAGAUCAGCCUUAUCAAGCCCAUGGUGCGGGCACUUGACCAAAAGAUCAUGGAAUCUUUCCCAAAGUUGGAAAAAUUCCUACUCAGAUUUUCCUCUAAAAGUUCUUAUGGCAUCCUUAAUUUUUUCAGUCUUUACCAUAGGAUAGAACCUAGCCAUGAACUUCUUAGAUAGUUGUUCCCAUGAUGUGAUGGAAUUUGAAGCAAAGGAAUACAGCCAUGCAGCAGUACGAUCCUCUAAAGUCAUGGAAAACAACCUUAAUUUAAAACCCUCUUCAUCUAAGUUUUGAUUUCUAAAUGUUUGACAGAUUGUCAAAAAUUUGUUUAGAUGAAUAUAGGGUUGUUCACUCUCGAACCUAUGAAACUUGGGUAACAUGUUUAUUGUUGCAGCCCGAAUUUCAAAUUGGGCUGCAUUAUUUAUUGGCAAUACUAUACAUGUAGGUGGACUAGCGAAUGCAGGAGCGAAUAAUUCAUUCAGGGUACUAAUGUGAUCACCCAUUGUAUAGAUUGGUGGUUGAUCAAUAAUUCGUCGGAUGUGAUGAUGCUUUUUUCUAACCUCUGGGUUAAAUGGUGUUAACUUACCCCUUAAUGAUCUUCUACCAUGCAUACAUUAUCCACAACUUAAUUAGACUCGACUCCUAAACGAAAUCCUAGAAGAAGAGAAGAAGAGCUAGACCAAGAUGACCACAAUCAACACCACACAACAAUUUGACCCUAUUAGUCUUAGAACUAAGUGAGGUUUAGUAGCUUUUAAAAUCUAGUUGCACAGAGAUUUAUCAGGUUAAAAAGUUUCUGAAAAUCUAGACAGCUCCUAAUCUCCCUUUCAGAUUAAGCUUGAGCUUACCAGUUAAGUGAUCCAGUAACCAGUGACCAGAAAAGUUCCGGGGUGUGUGGUGGUGCCAGAAGGGAUACACCGAUACCACAAUACCCGUAACAGUUCUCACUGUUGUAAAACUUUCCUAAACAUCACCAAUUACUAAAUUCUCACUAGAGUGACUUUCAACCGCUUCUUUCCAAGAGCCUAAUUGAGCUCGAAAACCCUAAGGCCAACGUCUAAUUUGAUUUUAAUUUAAUUUUGCUUAGGAUAUGUAUGCAAGGUGCUGAUUUUUGGGCUAAGGACAGGUAAUGACUUUCCGACUUUAUCUUUUUAAUGGAUUUUGCCCUUAAAUUAUUUUAUGCAAAUGCUUAAUACUAAAUGCAGCAAAUAAUUAAUAAUUUUUAAAGUUUAUUCAAUGUCAUUAGGUUGUACUGAUUAAAUGAGCAAACUAAUUUUUUUAUUUUUUAUUUUUUAAUUUUUUUUAUUUUUUAUUUUUUAUUUUUUAUAUAGCAAUAACUUGAAUGUAAACUAAACACAAUUCUUAUGCGUCAGUCAAUCUCCGAAUGCCCGUUGAAUAAGCUCUGGAGAUUACUCCGUGAGGAGCCCCAAUAGAGGUAUGAUAACCUCGGAGGAUUGCACCUUAUCAAUUACUAACAAAAAUAAUAUUUUUUUAAUUUUUUAUUUACUUAUUUUUUUAAACUUUUUUUAAAAUUUAAAUUUCAAAUUUUGAAUCUCAGAAUUCAAAUUUUGAAUUUAAAUUUUAUGAAUUUUUGAAUUUUUGAAUUUUUUUAAUUUUUUUAAAUAUCUUUUUUUUGAAUUUUAUUUUUUUUGCUUUUUUAAAAAAAACUUUAAUUUUCAAAUUUCAAAUUUUAGAAUUUAAUAACUACAAAAUUAUUAACUAAAAAUAAUCAAAAUAAGGAAAAUUAAUAAAAAUGAAAACUUACUACUGGAGUGUGUUCACUCCGGGCAUCCUAAAUCCAAUUAGAUCUUCGUGAUCGUUCUUGCUUCUCGAUUUGCCUUCCCGGCAACGGCGCCAAGAUUCUGUUCGUCCGAUUUCUGUCUACCUAAAAAUAUGCUAGACAGAUCGUUGUUAGAACCGACGAACAAAAGUUAAAUUUAAAUUUUACUCUUACCUUUCCUACUCGAAGAAUAGUGGUUAUAAGAGGUCGAUCCACAGGGAGGCGAUUGGAGUUGCAUAAAAAUUAGAACGUUCACUUGGAUUCAAAAUCGAUUUUUGAAUAACAAAACAAAAACAUGAUGUCGGGGAUGAUGAUAGAUUCUCUAAUUUACCAGAGAAUUUUCUUUAUUUAAAAAUAAUAAAAAGAUAAGUACUUAGAAAUCAAAGAGCAUUUAUAAAUUCAUGAAAUGUUUAACUAUUCAAAGGAAAAUUUUGGCAUAAAUUAAAAUGGAUGAAAGCAAGUGCUAAGAAGAUCAAAACCCUAGAACAUAAAUUGCAUAAAAGAAAAUUUAAUAUAUUGCAUCNNNNNNNNNNNNNNNNNNNNNNNNNNNNNNNNNNNNNNNNNNNNNNNNNNNNNNNNNNNNNNNNNNNNNNNNNNNNNNNNNNNNNNNNNNNNNNNNNNNNNNNNNNNNNNNNNNNNNNNNNNNNNNNNNNNNNNNNNNNNNNCCCUUUUACAAAUAACAUAAAAAAAAUAUAAAACAAAUAAGCUUCUCCCUCAACAUAAAAACAAUUUUUUUAUUUCUUUCUUCUUCCCAAGAGAAACAGAGCAAUGCUCUGUUUCUUCUUUCUCCUUUCUUUGGGCUCGCCGACCACCCGCCCUGGACCCACCGGCCACUCGCCGAGAGCUCCCCGCCUCCUCCUUCUUCCCCUCUUCUUAUAGCCCUUGGAGACGUUGGGAUUCCGAAAAAAUCACGGCCGGCCGGACGCGAUGCUUGGAUCACGGAAGGCUGGGAUUGCGUGAUGCGGAGGAUGGAUGGAUCGUCCGCGAUGCUGGGGUUGAAAUGGAGGGGCUGCAUGUCAUCCGGGAUGCUGGGGUUUCCUUCACGGACGUGGGAUCGUUGCUCUUCCCUUCUUUGGGUGCCGGAUUGGAAGCGGGAUCGAUGGGGAGGAGCCGAUCGUGGAAGGGAUCCGGUGCGGAUCGGGUGGAACACGGGAUGCUUGCUGGGAAUCCAGAAUGGCUUGAGAUGCGGACGGGCUGGAAUCCGAAAGAGGUGAGGAUGCUGCGUCGGAUGGAAAGAGCCAGAUCACGGGCGUGAAUCUGGGAACUCAAUGGUUGGCUGGAUCGGGCGUGGUGGAUUGGAAACGGAAGGAGGGAGAGGGCGGACGGUGAGAGGAGGCAUUGAUGAAGUGGAAGGAGGGAUCUGCGGCUUGGAUCCUGGCUGGAGCUGGGAGGAAUCGCGGAGGCGCACGGACCGGCUUGAUGCGGAAGGCGGGGACGCGGGCUUCCUUCUUCGGUUGCUGGGAAAGAGGAGGAGCUUGGGGCACAGUGCGGGAUCCGUAGAGGGCGCCGUGGGACCGCUGCUGGGAGGAGCGGACGUGGGAGGCUGACGUGGCUUGCUGAUUUGGGAGGCUUGGAAGAGGGGCUGAAGUUGGGGAGAGCUGAUCUUGAUCAUUGGAUGCGGACACGGAGAUGCUCGCGAUGUUGUGAUAUAUCGCGGGAUGAAGUCAGGAUGUGCAGGCCCUGGAAGAUGCUGGCUUGACUUGAGCUCGGGCUGCCGGGCAUUGGGCUCAAACCCAAUAUUAUUGGGUUUCUUGGAUUACUUGUACUCCAAUACAAAUACAACGUUAAUUAGUUAAUUUUAUUAUUAAUGAUUAGCCAGAAUACUAAUUAAGAUGGUACGACGAUUGCACUUUUGUGCUCUCAUCACACCCCCCAACCAGCUUAUUGCUAGUCUCUAGCAAUUUAGUGCGAACAUGAUAAAAUAAGAGUACAAAAGUGUUGUUUAUUAUAAAUAUACUAAGAUAAAUACUCACUUUCGUAAAGCAUUACGAUUGCACUUAGCACGUGCAACAAGCCGUUAAACUCCUAGGUUACCCUAGUGGACGAGUGUUGUCUCGUGAGGGUUUGCAGUGAAGUUACCCACAAACUUCAUCAGUCAGGAAUUUUCAAUUUUUAACUCAAAAUUUUAACAGGUAUUACUGUAUGAAACUAGAAUUUCAAGGAUAAUAGAGACUCGUUGCUAUUAUAUUUAAGCAGACUCUAACUCAAGUUUCAUUACUCCAUAUCUAUCUGCUAACAAGUCAAGAAUGUAGUGAGGUGCAAGAUAGUAUCAUAUAAAUGAGUGGCUUUCACUUACUUCCAACAUGAUCACUCCAAUUUUCAAGACUUUCUAGAGUUAAAUGGUAAUGAACACCCCAGAUUUAUUUAUUUAUUUAUUUAUUUUAUUUUAUCUUUUUGAAUGCUAAGAAGAAUGACUUGUGUAAUAUCUAGCCUUAUUAAGCUUUCUAGCUGAUCCAUGUAGCGAGUGUUAGGCCAAUGACUCCCGAUCCAGAUGGCUCAGGGCACUAGGUGUAGAAACACCCUAACAGGCUUAAUAACUCAAGUUAACUAGGCUUCAAGGCCAAAUUAGUCACUCAGAGUUUAAUCUCAAUCAUCCUCACCUUUUUACGCGAACACUCGCUGCUUGUCAGGCAAGAGGCCCGAUUACUCAGUGAGAAGACUUAAAAUAAACUCAUUAUUUUUAUUUUAUUUUAUCUUUUUUUUUUGAUUAGGGUGUUCAUCACACAUAUAACUUUAAAUUAUCCCGAAGAUUAAAAGUAUUCAUAUUAGUUGCAAGUAUACAUACCCCACUAUUCAUGUGCUUACGUGUUGGUGCUAAAUCAUCUUGUAUCAUAUUAGCAGAAGAUAGGUGGGAUGAAAACUCAAGCUAGAACUGCUAUCAUAUUUCUUAACUCAAAGCUAUUGUCAAAGCAAUUCCUAAUUUGCACAGCCAAAAAGAUUAGAGUUUGAGUUAAAAAUUUGAACUCUCCUCUUUUUUUCUUUUUUUUGCAUAAAAAAUCAAAAAUAUUCUCACCCCCAUACCUAAAUCUAACAUUGUCCUCAAUGUUAAAGAAAAUUUAAGGCAGUAAUAGGACAGAGGAGAAGUUACCUAAUAUGGAUGGGUAAAGUGACAAUUGGGGCCAAAAACCUCCAAACCUGCAUGUUAGCAAAUUUUAUUAUUAUUAUUAUUAUUAUUAGUAGUAUUUUAUUUAUUUAUUACUAUUAUUAUUAUUAUUAUUGAUUUUUUUUUAUAAUAUUUACAUGUUGGGUUGCCUUCCAAGAGCGCUAAGUUUUAUGUCUUCAGCCGGACAAAAUGUAAAUCCUCCUUUUUUUUCAACCAUUAUCUAAGAAUGGUUUUGGAAGAGUCCGAUGAAGAACAGUCGGCUGAUGACGAUCUAUGCUCAUAAGGGGAACAGAACUAAGGGGCGCAUGCUUGACCCCUUCCUCGGAAUGGGCAAGGUAAGCUUCUAGAGGGUCCUUAUUAUAAGUUCGUAAGAAAGUCUUCUGAACCAGACUUUCAAUCAUGUCAACUUCAUUGAUUUCUUUGUCGUCUGGUCGUUGUUUACUUAUGUUGAAGACAUUAAGCUUGACUUUCAUGUUGCCAAAAGAUAACUUCAGCAUCCCAUUUCGACAGUUGAUCACAGCAUUUGCUUUGGCUAAGAAAGGUCUACCUAAAAUUAUAGGUGUGUGACUGUCUGGAUGUAUUGCAGGUUCAGUCUCAAGGAUAACGAAGUCCACAGGAUAGUAAAACUCAUUUACUUUNNNNNNNNNNNNNNNNNNNNNNNNNNNGGGAUACUUCACUGUCCUAUCUGCUAAGAAAGUGUAAUAUUUGUAGGCUUUAAUUCUCCCAAUCCUAAUUUUUGGUACACAUAGUAGGGAAGUAGGUUUACACUGGCUCCUACAUCUAAUAGAGCUCUCUGGAUGAUCGUCUCUCCUAUUUUUAUUUCAAUAGUUGGGCAACCAGGGUCUUUGAAUUUUGGGGCAAUUUGAAUGAGAGAUGAGGCUUGUGCAGCCAUAACAGCUUGCCUAGAAAUACUGAUUUUUCUUUUGACCGUGGUGAGGUCUUUCAAGAAUUUUGUAUAGGAGGGAAUUUGUCUUAUGGCAUCGAGAAAAGGUAUAUUUAUUUGAACAGUUUUAAAGACUUCCAUGAUUUCAUCAAAGUUAGAUAGUUUCUUGGAGUCCCGAAGUCUACUGGGAAAGGGAACCUUGGGUUUGUAUGUUUUUAUGGGUUCUUCCCUUUUU